This is a non-coding RNA of Triticum aestivum (bread wheat), 135 nucleotides long. The record is from Rfam. NCBI's taxonomy places the organism in Eukaryota, Viridiplantae, Streptophyta, Magnoliopsida, Poales, Poaceae.
AAUCUACUCCCUUCGUUCCAAAGUUCUUGUCUUAGAUUUGUGUAGAUACGGAUAUAUCUAAUACUAAAACAUGACUAAAUACAUCCGUAUUUAGACAAAUCUAAGAUAAGAAUUUUGGGACGGAUGGAGUAUGAA